UUGAACGCUAGUCAUAGAGCGCUGCGAUCGCACAACAAUAAACAACGUAUAUGUAGUUAUACACAUCUGACAUACACAACUUAUACUUAACGAUUGAAGCACCUUACAGUUUAACAGAUAAAUUAAGAAAUUUUUGUCGGAUCUGUGUAUAGGAUUGUGAUGUAACGGCAUCGCGAAAUCUUGCCAUAUUUGUCUCCGAGGACUAGUUCCGGGAACAAUGUGACGAUCACGCAUCAAUUUGCUUGUGCAACCGUUUCAACUAACUGGCUGUACGCCGUGGGGAGAAUCGGCAACUAAUCCGCCAUUGUGUGUCGAGCAUGAUGCGAUUAUCGCGUUAUACAGUUGCGCUAUGGGAGAAUACCGAACUGUGAAAGUGUUGUUGGGCCUCGGAUAGAACCGGAGCCACUACGUGGCUGAAAAAGCCGAAUUUCCAUCGCUGUAAUGUUUGGACGAUAAACAAGGUCGAAUCUUUCUAAAGACUUCAAUUUUGACGCUACACGGAGUGUGAUGAAAGAAUACAACGUGCAACAUGAUUAGACUUUCGAUUCCCGGUUCAACAGAGCUUCAACCAGCGUACCCGCAACAAGAGAUGCGUGAAUUGUUACGUUCCACCUACGUCCAUCUCUCGUCUACGCAAAUGCAUGGAACGUGCGAUGGUUGAACAUUGAGGAACGUACGAAGAAAAAAUCUGGAGGCCAGACGGGUUGUUUGUGCGAUUAACGGUAAACCUGAUUCACAGUGAGAAGUCGCCAAGGUGCUUGGGUAAAAGAACCUACAAGGAAAAUUCUUGAUGAAGGAUAU
Bombus pyrosoma is the source of this 801-nucleotide long non-coding RNA. RefSeq lists it as uncharacterized. The record is from RefSeq and is a predicted model, not a curated record. Lineage: Eukaryota; Metazoa; Arthropoda; Insecta; Hymenoptera; Apidae. The transcript is spliced from 3 exons.